UCCGUCGGAAUGAUUUUGCAGGUCUGUCCUCAUCCAGUCAUCUUCCAUCCACCUUUUUCCUUUCUUUUACUAUAUUUUAAUUAUUUUAAAAUUCCUUUGCUCUGAUCUCACAACCAACAUACCCUUGAAACCAAAUUGAAAAAUCAAAAAGUUGGAAUCUGCUAGCUGAUUAUGGUCUUCCCGCAUUUCCUUAAUCCGUUGUCCGUCUCAAUUCAGUAUCCAAUUGUCCAGUAUUAGGUUUCCAAUGGCAGCUACUGGUGGAGGUGGAGGUGGAGGAGUUGCUGCUGCUGCCGUGACAGUCCAUCACGAGGAGGAGAAGACCCCACAAGAAGAACUUUCUCUCCCGAUUCUUCUGGCGGACCGAGUUGUUAAAUCAGCUCAAGAGGCCGAGUCCAACAAGCAAGAAUGUGCCGAACUCGCCAAGCAGGUCGAUAAACUCUCUCAGAUGCUCCGCUCUGCCGUGCGCCUCUCCGCUGUCACUCAGUCCCUUUACGACCGUCCACUUCGUCGAAUUGCAAUCGAUGUUACUAAGAAUCUUGAACGCGCCCUGAAUCUGAUGCGCAAGUGCCGCCACAGCGGCGUACUCCGCCAGUUGUUUUCAAUUACCACCACUGCCGAUUUCCGAAAGGUAUCUAAUUUACUUGAAUCCUCAAUUGGUGACAUGCGUUGGCUGCUCUCUAUCUUCGAUUCUGACGGAGCUGACCUAUCUCUGCCUCCAAUUGCAAGCAACGACCCUAUCCUCGCCUGGGUCUGGUCCUAUAUCGCUACCCUCACUAUGGGGCAGCUAAAAGACCGUGUUGACGCAGCUAACGAGCUUGCCUCUCUUGCUCGCGUUAACGAGCGGAACAAGAAUAUCAUUGUUGAAGAAGGCGGGGUUUUUCCACUUUUGAAGUUGCUCAAAGAGGGGGCCUCUCCAGAGGCUCAAAUUGCUGCUGCGAAUGCGCUUUCUAAUAUCGCUACUGACAGUGAGAGAGUAAGAUUGAUCGUGGAUUUGCUUGGGGUGCCAACAAUUGUUGGGGUUCUUGGUGAUUCCCCAAUGAGAGUCCAGAUUGCGGCGGCAAAUUUGGUAGCGAGGAUGGCGGAAUUGGACCCUCUAGCACAGCAGGACUUUGUGCGAGAGAACGUGAUCAGGCCCCUAGUGUCGUUGCUAUCUGUGGAUUUGGUCUUGGAUACUACUAAGGUGGAGUCAGGUAAAACUAGUAUUCAUUCAAUUGUUCAAAUUAAUAAGCAGAUUGCCUCAAAACCUGGAAGCGAUAAUUAUAGUCAUCGAAAAGGUUCGAAUUUGUCGGCUCACUCUUCAUUUUCAGAUGGUAGUAGUAGGGGCAGUCAUUAUAGGAAAGAUAAAGAGAUUGAGCUACCUGAGGUGCAGCUUCAGGUCAAGGUCAGUUGUGCCAAGGCACUUUGGAAACUGUCCAAAGGUAAUGUAUCAAAUUGUAGGAAAAUUACAGAGACAAAAGGGCUGCUUUGUUUGGCUAAGACUAUUGAGAGUGAGAAAGGGGAAUUGCAGUUUAAUUGUUUGAUGACUGUUAUGGAGAUAACAGUAGUGGCUGAGCAAAAUGCUGAUGUUAGACGAGCGGCUUUUAAGACUAAUUUGCCUGCUGCGAAGGCAGUAUUGGAUCAGCUUUUAAGAGUAAUUAGGGAAGAAAAUAAUCCGACAUUACAAAUUCCUGCAAUUAAGGCAAUUGGGUGCUUGGCUCGAACAUUUCCUGCAAAAGAAACACGAGUACUUGGGCCUUUAGUUGCUCAGCUUGGGAACAAGGAUGUUGAUAUGGCCACUGAAGCUUCUAUCGCUUUGGGAAAAUUUGCAUGUCCAGAAAAUUUCAAUUGUACAGAGCAUACGAAGGCCAUUAUUGAGUUUGAUGGAGUUCCUCCUUUGAUGAGAUUGUUGCGUGCCAGUGAUCGAGCUCAAAUUCAUGGACUUGUUCUACUAUGUUACCUAGCAUUGAAUGCUGGGAACAGCAAAGCUCUUGAACAAGCACAGGCAUUGAAUGCCAUUGAAGGAUUGGCGCGUUCUGUGCUAGCUCUGCAUCCUGAUCUAAGGGAUCUGUUUGCCAAAGCAAUACACCACCUCACCCUUUAUCAGGCUGGUUUGCAUCUCCACAGACAGUCCUAUCCUCCAUAACUUCCCAGCGAUAGUUUUACUCAUCCAUGUGAGCUUGUUGUAACAUACAUUCAGCAGAACAAACACUACUGAGUAGGUAGAUACUUGAUGCUGUCUUACCUCCUAAAUUCUGCAUUCAGGUGGGUAUAUGAAGCUAAUGAAACCAUUCUGUUAAUGAUGCAAGCUUUUAUUUCACUCAAACCCGUCACAAUCUAGUUUCUAAAAUGGUAUUUUCUUGUGGCCAACUUCCUAUGUGAAGACUUUUGCAUUGGUAGCUUUCAAGCUUCAAGACGAUGUGUAUUCUUCUCUAGACUGUUGAAUCGACUAUCGAAAGAGACUUUAAUAUUUGUUUUCUUAGGAUUCUCAAUAACCAGAGAGACUACACAUUCUAGUACUGAAGAGGUGAGGUAUAUAUUUGGACGCUCUUGUCUAGCUCCACCUAAUUUCUGUUAAACAGUUGGUAAACAGGUUAUAUAAUUGAGUGAGUUAUCUUUGAAGAGAAGCUAUACAAGGAAAACUUUCAACUCAAGGAAA
This is an RNA transcript of Tripterygium wilfordii, 2635 nucleotides long. RefSeq lists it as uncharacterized. The record is from RefSeq and is a predicted model, not a curated record. The transcript has 3 exons. NCBI's taxonomy places the organism in Eukaryota, Viridiplantae, Streptophyta, Magnoliopsida, Celastrales, Celastraceae.